GAUGAACGCUGGCGGCGUGCCUAAUACAUGCAAGUCGAGCGAACAGACGAGGAGCUUGCUCCUCUGACGUUAGCGGCGGACGGGUGAGUAACACGUGGAUAACCUACCUAUAAGACUGGGAUAACUUCGGGAAACCGGAGCUAAUACCGGAUAACAUGUUGAACCGCAUGGUUCAACAGUGAAAGACGGUCUUGCUGUCACUUAUAGAUGGAUCCGCGCCGCAUUAGCUAGUUGGUAAGGUAACGGCUUACCAAGGCAACGAUGCGUAGCCGACCUGAGAGGGAGAUCGGCCACACUGGAACUGAGACACGGUCCAGACUCCUACGGGAGGCAGCAGUAGGGACUCUUCCGCAAUGGGCGAAAGCCUGACGGAGCAACGCCGCGUGAGUGAAGAAGGUCUUCGGAUCGUAAAACUCUGUUAUUAGGGAAGAACAAAUGUGUAAGUAACUAUGCACGUCUUGACGGUACCUAAUCAGAAAGCCACGGCUAACUACGUG
RNAcentral lists this ribosomal RNA (497 nucleotides) under uncultured bacterium. RNAcentral describes it as "partial 16S ribosomal RNA". It matches the Rfam family "Bacterial small subunit ribosomal RNA", at positions 28 to 507 of the family's 1533-position model. The record is from RNAcentral.